CCUACGGGGGACAGCAGUGAGGAAUAUUGGUCAAUGGGCGCGAGCCUGAACCAGCCAAGUAGCGUGAAGGAUGACUGCCCUACGGGUUGUAAACUUCUUUUAUAAAGGAAUAAAGUGAGGUACGUGUGCCUUUUUGUAUGUACUUUAUGAAUAAGGAUCGGCUAACUCCGUGCCAGCAGCCGCGGUAAUACGGAGGAUCCGAGCGUUAUCCGGAUUUAUUGGGUUUAAAGGGUGCGUAGAUGGGUUGUUAAGUCAGUUGUGAAAGUUUGCGGCUCAACCCUAAAAUUGCAAUUGAUACUGGCGGUCUUGAGUACAGAUGAGGUAGGCGGAAUGCGUGGUGUAGCGGUGAAAUGCUUAGAUAUCACGAAGAACUCCGAUUGCGAAGGCAGCUUACUAAACUGCCACUGACAUUGAUGCUCGAAAGUGUGGGUAUCAAACAGGAUUAGAUACCCGGGUAGUC
Molecule: ribosomal RNA, 460 nt
Filed under: uncultured bacterium
Lineage: Bacteria
Description: partial 16S ribosomal RNA
Rfam family: Bacterial small subunit ribosomal RNA
Source: RNAcentral